AAAAAGCUUCUAGUUAGAGAAUUACCGCCCGUACCGUAAACCGACACAGGUAUGCGGGGAGAGAAUCCUAAGGUGCGCGGGAGAACCCUCGUUAAGGAACUCGGCAAAAUGUACCCGUAACUUCGGGAUAAGGGUAGCCGCUGUUGUGAAGUCUGAACAGACGGAGCAUGAGGCGGUCGCAGUGAAGAGGCCCAAGCGACUGUUUACCACAAACACAGGUGCCUGCUAAAGAGAAAUCUGACGUAUAGGUGCUGACACCUGCCCAGUGCCGGAAGGUUAAGGAAGGAUGUCCGGAGCAAUCCAAAGCAUUCGACCGAAGCCCCGGUGAACGGCGGCCGUAACAAUAACGGUCCUAAGGUAGCGAAAUUCCUUGUCGGGUAAGUUCCGACCCGCACGAAAGGUGUAACGAUUUGGGCACUGUCUCAACGAGGGACCCGGUGAAAUUGAAGUACCUGUGAAGAUGCAGGUUACCCGCGACUGGACAGAAAGACCCCAUGGAGCUUUACUGUAACCUGACAUUGGGUUCUGAUACAUCACGUACAGGAUAGGUGGGAGGCAUGGAAGCGAGGACGCUAGUCUUCGUGGAGCCGCCGUUGGGAUACCACCCUUGAUGUAUCGGAAUUCUAACCGUAGGAGUAACGAAACUCGGGACAGUGUCAGGCGGGCAGUUUGACUGGGGCGGUCGCCUCCCAAAGAGUAACGGAGGCGCCCAAAGGUUCCCUCAGCGCGGCCGGAAAUCGCGCGAAGAGUGUAAAGGCAGAAGGGAGCUUGACUGAGAGCCAAACACGGCAAUCAGGUACGAAAGUAGGGCUUAGUGAUCCGGUGGCAUCCAAGUGGAAGGGCCAUCGCUCAACGGAUAAAAGCUACCCUGGGGAUAACAGGCUAAUCUCUCCCAAGAGUCCAUAUCGACGGGGAGGUUUGGCACCUCGAUGUCGGCUCAUCACAUCCUGGGGCUGAAGUCGGUCCCAAGGGUUGGGCUGUUCGCCCAUUAAAGUGGUACGUGAGCUGGGUUCAGAACGUCGUGAGACAGUUCGGUCCCUAUCCAUCGCGGGCGCAAGAGAUUUGAAGGGGGCUGCUCCUAGUACGAGAGGACCGGAGUGGACGAACCAAUGGUGUACCAAUUAUCUCGCCAGAGGUAUAGUUGGGUAGCUACGUUCGGAAAGGAUAAACGCUGAAAGCAUCUAAGCGUGAAACCAGCCUUAAGAUGAGAUCUCUCAUAGAGCAAUCUAGUAAGACACCUUGGAGAAGACGAGGUUGAUAGGUCGGGAGUGUAAGUACAGUAAUGUAUUCAGCGGACCGAUACUAAUAUGUCGAGGGCUUGACU
RNAcentral lists this ribosomal RNA (1324 nucleotides) under metagenome. RNAcentral's name for it is "bacterial LSU rRNA". It matches the Rfam family "Bacterial large subunit ribosomal RNA", at positions 1612 to 2925 of the family's 2925-position model. The record is from RNAcentral.